Molecule: small RNA, 28 nt
Filed under: Bombyx mori (domestic silkworm)
Lineage: Eukaryota; Metazoa; Arthropoda; Insecta; Lepidoptera; Bombycidae
Description: ovarian small RNA-17609
Source: RNAcentral
GUAACAUCAAAAUGUGCCUUUAUAACGG